CGCGAAACCUUUACACUGCACGACAGUGCGAUAAGGGGACCCCGAGUGCGAGGGCAUACAGUCCUCGCUUUUGUGUACCGUAGGGAGGUACACGAAUAAGAGCUGGGCAAGACCGGUGCCAGCCGCCGCGGUAAUACCGGCAGCUCAAGUGAUGGCCGCUAUUAUUGGGCCUAAAGCGUCCGUAGCCGGCCGCACAAGUCCGUCGGGAAAUCCACCCGCCUAACGGGUGGGCGUCCGGCGGAAACUGUGCGGCUUGGGACCGGAAGACUCGAGGGGUACGUCCGGGGUAGGAGUGAAAUCCCGUAAUCCUGGACGGACCGCCGGUGGCGAAAGCGCCUCGAGAGGACGGAUCCGACGGUGAGGGACGAAAGCUAGGGUCUCGAACCGGAUUAGAUACCCGGGUAGUCCUAGCCGUAAACGAUGCUCGCUAGGUGUGACGCAGGCUACGAGCCUGCGCUGUGCCGUAGGGAAGCCGUGAAGCGAGCCGCCUGGGAAGUACGUCCGCAAGGAUGAAACUUAAAGGAAUUGGCGGGGGGGCACUACAACC
This 547-nucleotide ribosomal RNA is filed under the name uncultured haloarchaeon. RNAcentral describes it as "bacterial SSU rRNA". It matches the Rfam family "Archaeal small subunit ribosomal RNA", at positions 340 to 886 of the family's 1478-position model. Lineage: Archaea; Methanobacteriati; Methanobacteriota; Halobacteria; Halobacteriales; Halobacteriaceae. The record is from RNAcentral.